RNAcentral lists this long non-coding RNA (1153 nucleotides) under Mytilus galloprovincialis (Mediterranean mussel). Lineage: Eukaryota; Metazoa; Mollusca; Bivalvia; Mytilida; Mytilidae. The record is from RNAcentral.
CAAAUAAGAUAGAAACAAUUCAGCAUACUUUUAUUUAUAUGAUAGAAUUUGUCAAACGUGUGUAAUAAUAACACGACCUAAUAUAAUAGUGGAAUAUUAGUAUACAAACAGCUACAGUGGAACACAAUGUUAUCAUCUAUAUGACACAAUUUAUCAGAUAAAUGUAAGGACAAAAUCUAUAACAUUACUGCAGUAAACAAAUACAAUAUACUCACCAUUCCUGUAUUUAUUUUUUGUAUGACACUGCAAGAAAAAAUGUUAUUCUCAGACAACUGAGGUUUCUUUGUAAAACUAGAGGGUGCAAGGAGCCUGUGUCGAUCACCUUGGUAUAUGUGCAUAUUCAACAAAGGACACAACAUUGUAGUGAGAAUGGAAAUCAUGGAAAAAAUCUCUAUUUUGUUGAUCUUGUAUUGCUGACCAUUUAGUCUGUUUAGUUAUUCUCUGUUUCCUUUAGUUUUUGCUCAAAACACAAAAGAUGAUUUAAAAAAUUCUAUAAAGAGUGAAAGUCCACUAACUAUAUCGGCAAAAUUUGGCUUGUUAGUAGAUCUUGUCUUGCUGAUCAUUUUUGAAUUUUAAAGUGUCUAUUUAUCUAUUAGGAUUUUUAUCACAUAAGACAAAACGCAAAACAAAUGGUAAAAAUCGUCAUUACAGGGCAAUGAUGAUGGUGGUCAAAUGUGGCUAAAUUUGGGCCAGUAGUUACAGAGAUAUAAUUUUUGUAAAGGUUAACAGUCGACGACGCACGUACAACGACGACAUUUGAUGACUGACGCCAAAUGAUGAUAAAAGCUGACUUAGCCAUAUCGGCCAGGUGAGCUAAAAAGGGAAAAUACAGAUAUCAAGUAUGCAAUUAGUAUGAACAUACUACACAUACAGCUACAGAACAAGACCCAAUGCCUUAUACAAUGUAGUUGGAGAUAGGAUUCAUAAUAUGGUGAAUUUGCUGGAUGUGACAUUAUUUAUUUUACGAACAAUUAUAGAUCUUCCAUGGUUUUCCAAACGAGAUGGGACCGACAAACAUCCCAAAGCUUGAAAUACCAUUGAUAAUUUGUUUAUUGCUCGGCAAAAAUACACUAAAUAGCAAUAAUCAUUUAUAUUCCCGAUUUCUUAAAACAAGACCGAUCAUAAGAAAUGAAAAUACCUUGUUUCUCGAGAC